This is a long non-coding RNA of Alligator sinensis (Chinese alligator), 289 nucleotides long. RefSeq lists it as uncharacterized. The transcript is spliced from 3 exons. Lineage: Eukaryota; Metazoa; Chordata; Crocodylia; Alligatoridae. The record is from RefSeq and is a predicted model, not a curated record.
AGGGGGUAGAAGAAGUAACAUCACCCAGCUGGCUCUUUCCAGAAUAUCUUGGAGAGACUUGUCAGAACAGAAGCAACACAAAAUAAUAAAAGCCUCCAGUGGGAAUAAAGUAGUUUUGCAAGCGGAACAAUUGGAGAAUUACAUGUUGACAUCUUCAUAUCCAUUAGUAGGCUUUCUUCACCUGAUAGAACUGUCUAGAGGGUGACUGAGCAGCAGGAGACCACACGAGGUGACACAUUUUUAAAGUGUGCUCAAGAAUCUGAAAAUAACAUGACCCUGGUUAUGGAAA